CGUAUAUAACCUCUGUCUAUUCUAAGCAAUGUUUCUAAAACAGAUAUCAGAUAAGUUGGGAGAACAUCUUGAUGUGGGUGAAGUCACAUUACCAAUACAGACGUUUUACAGAUGAUCAAUAAUGUUUCAAUAUAAAACAAACAAACCACUAAAGAAACCAGCUGCAGCUUUGGCCGCUCUACACCUUGUUCACCGCACAACCGCCCCAAGCAAAGCUUCAUCACAUGCCACAAGCAUUUCACCUCUUUUUGGGAAGGAAUGCCUCCCCAAUUAGUCAAUUGCAAUUUGCAACCCUCUGAUGAGAUAUGAUGAUGGGAAAGACCUAACCCCUUUUGUUUUCUCUUCAUUUUUUCUCUUUUCACCCGGGGAACCUUUCCUUUUUUCCGGGACCUGGACUGGCGCCCGGGGCAGGCAGGGUCGUUCUCCUCUCCUUUUCACGCACUGUGGUGGUGGAUUUCUCCCUCUUUUCCUGCCUCCUCUUUCAGCCUGUUCCUUGCCUCUGAAGUUUGGUAUGGGUUCUGCUGCUCACCCUGUCGCACUCUACCGUCUCUCGCUGCUUGUGGGAAGAGAGUGCAAUGAUUCAGAGAGAGAGGUGCGAGCAGGCAGCGGAGGAGCCGGAGCUGCAGCCGGUGGCGCGUAGCUUUCCUGAAAGCAAGACGUGCAAACUGUUCCUGGCAGCGGCAUCUGUUACCACCUGCAGCCAGCAAUCCUCC
RNAcentral lists this long non-coding RNA (713 nucleotides) under Setaria italica (foxtail millet). RNAcentral describes it as "long non-coding RNA (SITA_LNC006421)". Lineage: Eukaryota; Viridiplantae; Streptophyta; Magnoliopsida; Poales; Poaceae. The record is from RNAcentral.